This is a long non-coding RNA of Impatiens glandulifera, 1294 nucleotides long. RefSeq lists it as uncharacterized. The record is from RefSeq and is a predicted model, not a curated record. NCBI's taxonomy places the organism in Eukaryota, Viridiplantae, Streptophyta, Magnoliopsida, Ericales, Balsaminaceae. The transcript is spliced from 4 exons.
CAGGCUGAUGGAAUGAUGAAUGAAGCAUUGAUUCCUGCUAUUUCCGGGGCCCUACAAGUAAGUCUUUUAGUUGCAAUUGCAGGUAGAUCGAUUGACUGAUUUAGCAAAGUCUGUACCAGUUCACCGCUCAAAAGUCCAGACUAUGAGUGCUGAGGUGCUGGAUAGUAAUCCUUACAGUAGGCUGAUGGCACUUCAAAGAAUGGGAAUUGUUGAUAAUUAUGAAAGAAUACGGGAGUUCUCUGUUGCCAUUGUUGUAUGUACCAUCCUCUUCUCUCUAUUGUUCCAGGCUGUUUUGGAUUUGGUUGUAUUUCAUUCUCUGUACAGGUUUUCUGUCACCAUUGGGUAUAGGGAUGUGGAAAAGAAAGUGCUCAACUUGCUUUUAUGCAAACCAUUGCACUUUUUGAUGUUUGAUCACUUCAGAUACUUUACUUCCUGAGAUGAUUGCGUUUAGCUCUAGAUUUGUAUCUUCAUAUGCAUACACUGACUUGGAAGUACAAGGACUAGAAAUUCCAUAUCUCUUCCUUCAGUUUUAAAUUCCAUGGCGAGGUAAAUAUGAUAUUACAUCAUUGAUCCUGUCAAUCACAUGAAUCUUCAUUUUCAACUAUAUCCGGAUGCAAACUGCAAACCUUAGGAGGAAUAAUCAAGUAUUUUGUUUGAUACUCCUAUUUUUAUGACACACUGUGUUUUAUGAAUUUCAUUUUAUCGUGCAAUUUCUAAUAAUUUUUCCUUCUAAACAACACUGAUCUAGAGGUAUUAUUAUCUCCUGUCUCAAUCCACAGGGAAUAGGUGGAGUGGGUUCCGAUUGCUGCCGAAAUGUUAACAAGAUGCGGGGUAGGCCGUCUUUUGUUGUAUGAUUAUGACAAAGUGGAGUUGGCUAACAUGAAUAGGCUAUUCUUCCGUCCAGAGCAGAUUUUGAAAAAAAAAGGUCGCCAGAAAAAUCGCCUGCGGCAGCUGUCGGCAGCGGUAGAGUCAAAAGUGGCAAGGGCUGGUCAAAUUGGGUCUUGGGUCAUCCUGAUAGGCCUAUGUGAUCUUGAAAGUCUUCUUGAACAUGGUUAAAUUUCAAAAUCAAACAAGGCCCAAUCAUCAUAAAUUUAGUGGAACGGGGCAGAAGGCAUGAUCAGCAAGCACCUUCAUCCCUAUAAUUAAUUUUCUUUUUCGCUCGUUUGAAUAUUUCUCCGCAUCUAGAAGCUUAAGAGUGUUGUAAUUGAGGCUAAAGCUCAACUUGUUGGAAUCCAUGAGGAUAAUUCCAAUUCAAUCCUAUCGGAUAAUCUAAUGAACAACACAACCAAGAUUC